This 644-nucleotide ribosomal RNA is filed under the name uncultured organism. Its description in RNAcentral is "bacterial SSU rRNA". It matches the Rfam family "Bacterial small subunit ribosomal RNA", at positions 731 to 1387 of the family's 1533-position model. The record is from RNAcentral.
GGGAUGUAUCUGACACUGAAGACAGCUAGUGGGGGAGCGAACAUGAUUAGUCACCGCAGUAGUCGUAGCAGUCAACGAUGGAUGGAGGGUGUGCGGGGUAUAGAUGCCCUCCUUGCAGAAGAUAUCGCCUUAAGCAUGCCGCCUGCGAAUUACGGCCGCAAGAAUUAUAUUCAAAAGAAUUGACGGGGGCCCGCACAAGCAGCGGAUGGUGUGGUUUAAUUGGAUGCUACACGAAGAACAUUACGUGGGCUUGACAUGUAGGUAGUAGUGAAGAGCAAGCGGAACGUCCUUUCGGGGAGCAUACACAGGUGGUGCAUGGCUGUCGUCAGUUCGUGCCGUGAGGUGUCGGGUUAAGUCCCCUAUCGUACGCAACCCUUAGCCUUAGUUUCAGGUGUUUAAGGGGACUGCCCGGGACAACUGGGAGGAAGGUGGGGAGGACGUCAAGUCAGCAUGGCCUUCAUGUCCAGGGCUACCCACACGCCACAAUGGCCGGUACAAUGGGUAGCCAAGCCGUGAGGUGGAGCCAAUCCCCCUAAUCCGGUCUAAGUUCGGAUUUUGGGAUGCAACUCGCCCAUCUGAAGCCGGAAUUGGUAGUUACCGCGCGUCAGCAAUACAGCGGUGAAUACGUUCCCGGGCCUUGUACA